This 71-nucleotide transfer RNA is filed under the name Gongylonema pulchrum. It matches the Rfam family "tRNA". From Rfam's summary of the family: Transfer RNA (tRNA) molecules are approximately 80 nucleotides in length. Their secondary structure includes four short double-helical elements and three loops (D, anti-codon, and T loops). Lineage: Eukaryota; Metazoa; Nematoda; Chromadorea; Rhabditida; Gongylonematidae. The record is from Rfam by way of RNAcentral.
GGACCGGUAGUGUAGUGGUAAUACGAUGCAUCCAGAUGCAAAGACGAGUGGUUCAAUUCCCUUCUGGUUUA